RNAcentral lists this ribosomal RNA (417 nucleotides) under Litsea monopetala. RNAcentral describes it as "eukaryotic LSU rRNA". The stretch from base 321 to 417 matches the Rfam family "Eukaryotic large subunit ribosomal RNA", at positions 1 to 97 of the family's 3401-position model. The record is from RNAcentral. Lineage: Eukaryota; Viridiplantae; Streptophyta; Magnoliopsida; Laurales; Lauraceae.
CAGAAUCCCGUGAACCAUCGAGUCUUUGAACGCAAGUUGCGCCCGAGGCCACUCGGCCGAGGGCACGCCUGCCUGGGCGUCACGCCGCCCACCGCCCCCUCCCGCGGCAUUCCCGUGCCCGGCCGGGGAGCGGAGACUGGCCGUCCGUGCCCGAGCCCUCGGCGCGCGGUCGGCGGAAAAGGAGGACACCGUGCGGCGCGACACGGCGUGUGGGGGUCGAGGGGCGAUCCGUCGCCCGAUCGUGCGCCGCGCCCGCAUUCCGCCGCGCGCAGUGUCACCCGUGGGACCAGACCCGCCCGCAGCAGCGGGCGCCCGGACCGCGACCCCAGGUCAGGCGUGGCCACCCGCUGAAUUUAAGCAUAUCAAUAAGCGGAGGAGAAGAAACUUACGAGGAUUCCCCUAGUAACGGCGAGCGAA